This 496-nucleotide ribosomal RNA is filed under the name uncultured bacterium. RNAcentral describes it as "partial 16S ribosomal RNA". It matches the Rfam family "Bacterial small subunit ribosomal RNA", at positions 29 to 507 of the family's 1533-position model. The record is from RNAcentral.
AUGAACGCUGGCGGCUUGCCUAAUACAUGCAAGUCGAGCGAACAGACGAGGAGCUUGCUCCUCUGACGUUAGCGGCGGACGGGUGAGUAACACGUGGAUAACCUACCUAUAAGACUGGGAUAACUUCGGGAAACCGGAGCUAAUACCGGAUAAUAUAUUGAACCGCAUGGUUCAAUAGUGAAAGACGGUUUUGCUGUCACUUAUAGAUGGAUCCGCGCCGCAUUAGCUAGUUGGUAAGGUAACGGCUUACCAAGGCGACGAUGCGUAGCCGACCUGAGAGGGUGAUCGGCCACACUGGAACUGAGACACGGUCCAGACUCCUACGGGAGGCAGCAGUAGGGAAUCUUCCGCAAUGGGCGAAAGCCUGACGGAGCAACGCCGCGUGAGUGAUGAAGGUCUUCGGAUCGUAAAACUCUGUUAUUAGGGAAGAACAAAUGUGUAAGUAACUAUGCACGUCUUGACGGUACCUAAUCAGAAAGCCACGGCUAACUACGUG